UCAAAACAUAACAUUCAUUGUUUGGUUCCAUCAUAGGAGAACGAAAGAAAAACGGAGCACAAGGCUCAGAUAAAGCAUAAAAGAUAAAAUUUGAAAUAAAAUGCUGGUAAGCACCAUAGUGGAACACCAUAACCCAAAAGGAGACGAAUCAAUGCUCUUAUUGGAAACGUGGUGCCAAAGGAAAGCUGUGGUAUCAACCUCUAGCUUCACGAGAUAACAAAGAGUGGAGCCAGGCUGGACCUUGCGAAGCUAUGUAUGAUUGGUACCGGUGGCCCGUUGUAACCGACCCUGCAAUCAUGUUCGCUGCUACAUUACGUUCAUCAGCUGCAUGAUCAAGACUCCAGUAGUUCCUUUAUGCCUUUAUGCAUAUUUUUAGUAGUUCCUUUAUGCCUUUAUGCCUUUAUGCAUAUCCUCCAUCAUUCUAGUAUCCAAAAAUCUGGAAAUUAGUUAUUGUAUCCUUCACGGCUAAUAUUUUUUUUGAGAAAGAG
RNAcentral lists this long non-coding RNA (488 nucleotides) under Brassica napus (rape). RNAcentral describes it as "long non-coding RNA (BNAP_LNC012074)". The record is from RNAcentral. Lineage: Eukaryota; Viridiplantae; Streptophyta; Magnoliopsida; Brassicales; Brassicaceae.